Molecule: long non-coding RNA, 1104 nt
Organism: Arvicola amphibius (Eurasian water vole)
Lineage: Eukaryota; Metazoa; Chordata; Mammalia; Rodentia; Cricetidae
Exons: 3
Source: RefSeq, a predicted model, not a curated record
AAAGUCGACCGUGUUCGGAUACCCCCACUUCCCUUCACCACACAUCGCUUCUCUACCCAUGGCUUUUUGAAAGGCUGGCUUAGUUUGUUACACAGAUCAAGAACGCCAACCGCUGCAACACCUCCGUUCUUCACCAGCCAGAGACGAGGGAAAGGACAGGAAGUCCAGCCUCACUCCUUCCUCAGCUCCAAUGAGAAAUGCAGUCCAUUGUUGUUGGCAAAGAGUUGGGGCAGAAGAGGCUGAAGGCUUGGUUGGUGCCUGUAGCCAGUCCUGGCAGGGAGCAUGGAGAAGCCCCAGAGGUCACUUCCUCUGUCAUCGCUGACAGGAAGAGUAUUAUUUGUGGGUGGGAAGAGAGAGGUCUCUUCGGAGGAUUCUAGCAGCGUCCACGCUCCUCAUGGCUCAGCCUGGAAUUGCUCUGCCGCCGCUACAGACCAUGGGAGGAGUCACUGGGUGACAGUGGGGUUUAACACCCCUCCAGCUGGCCCCAGAACCCCAGGGACAGAACCAGGCACCGAGCCUUGCAGGGAAGACACAGGACUCAAGGGCUCCGGCACGCUCCUCAGGGCACCUGGCUGAGGCUGCGAGGGCUGUGGAGGAGGUGGGGCCGGCGGCUGCUGCUGCUGCUGCUGCUGCUGCUGCUGCAGUUUCUUCUUGUUGAUUUUCCUUUCCUUGGCUCUUCGGUUCUGAAACCAAAUUUUAACCUAGAAAUGACAAGGAAGAAGGUAGAAGAGAUGAAAAGAGAAGCAGCAGCAUUCCAAGAUCAUCCUUGCCUGAGGAAAAAGUCUCUUUGGAUAGUGAUUGGCUCUUCCAGAAGUUUCCAAUCACUAUCCAACGCCCCCCACCAUUGAGCUUUAGCGCAAUGUGGAAGCAUUCGUUCCCAGACUCAAAUCAGCCUGAUGGGAAGUGGCAAUCCCACGCCUGGCCCAUCCCCUCCCUUCCCCCGUUGCUUUCCAAAAGAGCCUCUUGGAAUCUCAGUACCACGCAGAAACCACAGAGAAAGGUCCUCCCCCCAUGCAGAUGGGUGGCCAACUCGGGUGUGCUUCACGGGCAUCCUUUGGCCCUCAGUGCCCGCAAGGAGAUUUCCUGUAAAAUUUCCUGACUGAA